AUUUUGGUUAACACAACACACUAAUGGGAAUGAUCUCUUUCUGCCCCAGAGAGAUACAUAAUACAAGAUCCAGUGCACUCAUUCACUAAACACCAACUUCAAAGCUCACAGUUGUAAUCGUUUAUUUUUUAACACCUGAGCAAAAUUUGGGCAAAAAUAAUGGGGAUUAAGUUACAGUAUAUGAUCAUACAUUGCAUAAGGUACCCUAUUUUUGGCAGGUCCUAUUCUAGCAACAUAAAG
Pelobates cultripes (western spadefoot toad) is the source of this 240-nucleotide non-coding RNA. The record is from the annotation of a GenBank genome assembly. Lineage: Eukaryota; Metazoa; Chordata; Amphibia; Anura; Pelobatidae.